RNAcentral lists this transfer RNA (70 nucleotides) under Siphoviridae sp. ctx254. RNAcentral describes it as "tRNA-OTHER". Lineage: Duplodnaviria; Heunggongvirae; Uroviricota; Caudoviricetes. The record is from RNAcentral.
GAGAAGAUAGCUCAGUUGGUAGAGCGCUGUUUGAUUACAGAGGCCCCCGGUUUGAGACCGGGUCUUUUCU